AGAGUUUGAUCCUGGCUCAGGAUGAACGCUGGCGGCGUGCCUAAUACAUGCAAGUCGAGCGGAAAGGUCCCUCCAGGCUAUUUAAGCGAAAGUUUGAAUGGUGUGGUGGGAUACUCGAGCGGCGGACGGCUGAGUAACACGUAGGAACGUACCCCAAACUGAGGGAUAAGCACCAGAAAUGGUGUCUAAUACCGCAUGUGGUCUUCGGAUUAAAGCUUUAUGCGGUUUGGGAACGGCCUGCGCAUGAUUAGCUUGUUGGUAAGGUAAUGGCUUACCAAGGCUAUGAUCAUUAGCUGGUCUGAGAGGAUGAUCAGCCAGACUGGGACUGAGAACGGCCCAGACUCCUACGGGAGGCAGCAGUAGGGAAUUUUCCACAAUGGGCGAAAGCCUGAUGGAGCAACGCCGCGUGCAGGAUGAAUGCCUUCGGGUUGUAAACUGCUUUUAUAUGUGACGAUUUUGACGGUAGCAUAUGAAUAAGGAUCGGCUAACUCCGUGCCAGCAGCCGCGGUCAUACGGAGGAUCCAAGCGUUAUCCGGAAUUACUGGGCGUAAAGAGUUGCGUAGGUGGCACCGUAAGUUGAUAGUGAAAGCGUUCGGCUCAACCGAAUACACAUUAUCAAAACUGCGGAGCUAGAGGACGAGAGAGGUAAUUGGAAUUCCUAAUGUAGGGAAAAUCCGUUGAUAUUAGGAGGAACACCGAUGGCGUAGGCAGAUUACUGGCUCGUUCCUGACACUAAGGCACGAAAGCGUGGGGAGCAAACAGGAUUAGAUACCCCCGUAGUCC
RNAcentral lists this ribosomal RNA (783 nucleotides) under uncultured bacterium. Its description in RNAcentral is "bacterial SSU rRNA". It matches the Rfam family "Bacterial small subunit ribosomal RNA", at positions 8 to 796 of the family's 1533-position model. The record is from RNAcentral.